Molecule: non-coding RNA, 131 nt
Organism: Neofusicoccum parvum
Lineage: Eukaryota; Fungi; Ascomycota; Dothideomycetes; Botryosphaeriales; Botryosphaeriaceae
Source: Rfam
CUAGGUAUUCUCUACCUAACACUACCUACACAUGCAGGAUAGUAAUUGAAUGUGUGAAGCUGUAGGAACAAUGUAGCCUGUCUUAGAUGACAUUGUAGAUAUAUUAUAAAAAGUAUAAUUAUAUCUCCAGG